Long non-coding RNA from Varroa destructor (honeybee mite), 408 nucleotides. The record is from RefSeq and is a predicted model, not a curated record. NCBI's taxonomy places the organism in Eukaryota, Metazoa, Arthropoda, Arachnida, Mesostigmata, Varroidae.
CAGAUCAUCUUCGGUUGGGUGCGAAUAGCCGAGUCUUUCCAAGACCUGUGCUUCCUGCUGGAUGUUGUCCUCGCUGGUUAUUCAAGCAUUUUUGUGCGUUACAGGUAGACCCGGCUAGCAUACAUAUAUUCCAUAAUAUUAAAAGAAUCCAGUCUUUGCUUGAUGUUCCAAAUGUUCAAGCUAUCGAUCUCAGUAGCCACUGGAUACUACCACAUCAAAGGAUACAAGGAUCGACCAAGCGUUAGCCCUCAAGAUAACCGCGACCCUGAGCGGAAUAUCUAUUGACACUGGCAAUUAUUAUUCGAUCAUCCGUAAAGCAUUUUGAAAAAGUGUUUUUGAAAAGAACUUUCAUGAGAUACCUUUACACAUAAACAGAUGUAAAAAAAAAAUAAAAAUUCUGAUAGAACA